RNAcentral lists this ribosomal RNA (426 nucleotides) under Clostridioides difficile. Its description in RNAcentral is "partial 23S ribosomal RNA". It matches the Rfam family "Bacterial large subunit ribosomal RNA", at positions 2497 to 2925 of the family's 2925-position model. The record is from RNAcentral. Lineage: Bacteria; Bacillati; Bacillota; Clostridia; Peptostreptococcales; Peptostreptococcaceae.
AGUCCACAUCGACGGGGAGGUUUGGCACCUCGAUGUCGGCUCAUCACAUCCUGGGGCUGUAGUAGGUCCCAAGGGUUGGGCUGUUCGCCCAUUAAAGUGGUACGCGAGCUGGGUUCAGAACGUCGUGAGACAGUUCGGUCCCUAUCCGUCGCAGGCGUAGGAAAUUUGAGAAGACCUGUCCUUAGUACGAGAGGACCGGGAUGGACGUACCUCUGGUGUACCAGUUGUUCUGCCAAGGGCAUGGCUGGGUAGCUAUGUACGGAAUGGAUAAGCGCUGAAAGCAUCUAAGCGCGAAGCCAACUUCAAGAUAAGAUUUCCCACCGAAAGGGUAAGACCCCAGAAAGACUAUCUGGUUGAUAGGUCGAAGGUGUAAGUGCAGCAAUGUAUUUAGCUUAUCGAUACUAAUAGGUCGAGGACUUGACCAAU